GUGAAGUAAAUGUAUAAUUAUGCGGCAUUACCUGUAACAGACAGAGAGACUCCAGGUUGGCCGGUGUAUUUGCCUUUAGGAU
Pangasianodon gigas (Mekong giant catfish) is the source of this 82-nucleotide non-coding RNA. The record is from the annotation of a GenBank genome assembly. NCBI's taxonomy places the organism in Eukaryota, Metazoa, Chordata, Actinopteri, Siluriformes, Pangasiidae.